GAUGAAGGACGUUACUAACGACGAUAUGCUUUGGGGAGCUGUAAGUAAGCUUUGAUCCAGAGAUUUCCGAAUGGGGAAACCCAGCAUGAGUUAUGUCAUGUUAUCGAUAUGUGAAUACAUAGCAUAUCAGAAGGCACACCCGGAGAACUGAAACAUCUUAGUACCCGGAGGAAGAGAAAGAAAAUUCGAUUCCCUUAGUAGCGGCGAGCGAAACGGGAAGAGCCCAAACCAACAAGCUUGCUUGUUGGGGUUGUAGGACACUCUAUACGGAGUUACAAAGGACGACAUUAGACGAAUCAUCUGGAAAGAUGAAUCAAAGAAGGUAAUAAUCCUGUAGUCGAAAAUGUUGUCUCUCUUGAGUGGAUCCUGAGUACGACGGAGCACGUGAAAUUCCGUCGGAAUCUGGGAGGACCAUCUCCUAAGGCUAAAUACUCUCUAGUGACCGAUAGUGAACCAGUACCGUGAGGGAAAGGUGAAAAGCACCCCGGGAGGGGAGUGAAAUAGAACCUGAAACCGUGUGCUUACAAGUAGUCAGAGCCCGUUAAUGGGUGAUGGCGUGCCUUUUGUAGAAUGAACCGGCGAGUUACGAUUUGAUGCAAGGUUAAGCAGUAAAUGUGGAGCCGUAGCGAAAGCGAGUCUGAAUAGGGCGUUUAGUAUUUGGUCGUAGACCCGAAACCAGGUGAUCUACCCUUGGUCAGGUUGAAGUUCAGGUAACACUGAAUGGAGGACCGAACCGACUUACGUUGAAAAGUGAGCGGAUGAACUGAGGGUAGCGGAGAAAUUCCAAUCGAACCUGGAGAUAGCUGGUUCUCUCCGAAAUAGCUUUAGGGCUAGCCUCAAGUGAUGAUUAUUGGAGGUAGAGCACUGUUUGGACGAGGGGCCCCUCUCGGGUUACCGAAUUCAGACAAACUCCGAAUGCCAAUUAAUUUAACUUGGGAGUCAGAACAUGGGUGAUAAGGUCCGUGUUCGAAAGGGAAACAGCCCAGACCACCAGCUAAGGUCCCAAAAUAUAUGUUAAGUGGAAAAGGAUGUGGCGUUGCCCAGACAACUAGGAUGUUGGCUUAGAAGCAGCCAUCAUUUAAAGAGUGCGUAAUAGCUCACUAGUCGAGUGACACUGCGCCGAAAAUGUACCGGGGCUAAACAUAUUACCGAAGCUGUGGAUUGUCCUUUGGACAAUGGUAGGAGAGCGUUCUAAGGGCGUUGAAGCAUGAUCGUAAGGACAUGUGGAGCGCUUAGAAGUGAGAAUGCCGGUGUGAGUAGCGAAAGACGGGUGAGAAUCCCGUCCACCGAUUGACUAAGGUUUCCAGAGGAAGGCUCGUCCGCUCUGGGUUAGUCGGGUCCUAAGCUGAGGCCGACAGGCGUAGGCGAUGGAUAACAGGUUGAUAUUCCUGUACCACCUAUAAUCGUUUUAAUCGAUGGGGGGACGCAGUAGGAUAGGCGAAGCGUGCGAUUGGAUUGCACGUCUAAGCAGUAAGGCUGAGUAUUAGGCAAAUCCGGUACUCAUUAAGGCUGAGCUGUGAUGGGGAGAAGACAUUGUGUCUUCGAGUCGUUGAUUUCACACUGCCGAGAAAAGCCUCUAGAUAGAAAAUAGGUGCCCGUACCGCAAACCGACACAGGUAGUCAAGAUGAGAAUUCUAAGGUGAGCGAGCGAACUCUCGUUAAGGAACUCGGCAAAAUGACCCCGUAACUUCGGGAGAAGGGGUGCUCUUUAGGGUUAACGCCCAGAAGAGCCGCAGUGAAUAGGCCCAAGCGACUGUUUAUCAAAAACACAGGUCUCUGCUAAACCGUAAGGUGAUGUAUAGGGGCUGACGCCUGCCCGGUGCUGGAAGGUUAAGAGGAGUGGUUAGCUUCUGCGAAGCUACGAAUCGAAGCCCCAGUAAACGGCGGCCGUAACUAUAACGGUCCUAAGGUAGCGAAAUUCCUUGUCGGGUAAGUUCCGACCCGCACGAAAGGCGUAACGAUUUGGGCACUGUCUCAACGAGAGACUCGGUGAAAUCAUAGUACCUGUGAAGAUGCAGGUUACCCGCGACAGGACGGAAAGACCCCGUGGAGCUUUACUGUAGCCUGAUAUUGAAAUUCGGCACAGCUUGUACAGGAUAGGUAGGAGCCUUUGAAACGUGAGCGCUAGCUUACGUGGAGGCGCUGGUGGGAUACUACCCUAGCUGUGUUGGCUUUCUAACCCGCACCACUUAUCGUGGUGGGAGACAGUGUCAGGCGGGCAGUUUGACUGGGGCGGUCGCCUCCUAAAAGGUAACGGAGGCGCUCAAAGGUUCCCUCAGAAUGGUUGGAAAUCAUUCAUAGAGUGUAAAGGCAUAAGGGAGCUUGACUGCGAGACCUACAAGUCGAGCAGGGUCGAAAGACGGACUUAGUGAUCCGGUGGUUCCGCAUGGAAGGGCCAUCGCUCAACGGAUAAAAGCUACCCCGGGGAUAACAGGCUUAUCUCCCCCAAGAGUUCACAUCGACGGGGAGGUUUGGCACCUCGAUGUCGGCUCAUCGCAUCCUGGGGCUGUAGUCGGUCCCAAGGGUUGGGCUGUUCGCCCAUUAAAGCGGUACGCGAGCUGGGUUCAGAACGUCGUGAGACAGUUCGGUCCCUAUCCGUCGUGGGCGUAGGAAAUUUGAGAGGAGCUGUCCUUAGUACGAGAGGACCGGGAUGGACAUACCUCUGGUGUACCAGUUGUCGUGCCAACGGCAUAGCUGGGUAGCUAUGUGUGGACGGGAUAAGUGCUGAAAGCAUCUAAGCAUGAAGCCCCCCUCAAGAUGAGAUUUCCCAACUUCGGUUAUAAGAUCCCUCAAAGAUGAUGAGGUUAAUAGGUUCGAGGUGGAAGCAUGGUGACAUGUGGAGCUGACGAAUACUAAUCGAUCGAAGACUU
RNAcentral lists this ribosomal RNA (2870 nucleotides) under Staphylococcus aureus. RNAcentral's name for it is "23S ribosomal RNA". It matches the Rfam family "Bacterial large subunit ribosomal RNA". Lineage: Bacteria; Bacillati; Bacillota; Bacilli; Caryophanales; Staphylococcaceae. The record is from RNAcentral.